GAUGAACGCUAGCGACAGGCUUAACACAUGCAAGUCGAGGGGCAGCAUGAUUUGUAGCAAUACAGAUUGAUGGCGACCGGCGCACGGGUGAGUAACGCGUAUGCAACUUACCUAUCAGAGGGGGAUAGCCCGGCGAAAGUAAGACUAAUACCCAAUGACGUCUCUAGAAGACAUCUGAAAGAGAUUAAAGAUUUAUCGGUGAUGGAUGGGGAUGCGUCUGAUUAGCUUGUUGGCGGGGUAACGGCCCACCAAGGCGACGAUCAGUAGGGGUUCUGAGAGGAAGGUCCCCCANAUUGGAACUGAGACACGGUCCAAACUCCUACGGGAGGCAGCAGUGAGGAAUAUUGGCAAUGGACGAGAGUCUGAACCAGCCAAGUAGCGUGCAGGAAGACGGCCCUAUGGGUUGUAAACUGCUUUUAUAAGGGAUAAAGUGAGUCUCGUGAGACUUUUUGGCUAUGUACCUUAUGAAUAAGGACCGG
This 479-nucleotide ribosomal RNA is filed under the name uncultured bacterium. RNAcentral describes it as "bacterial SSU rRNA". It matches the Rfam family "Bacterial small subunit ribosomal RNA", at positions 28 to 496 of the family's 1533-position model. The record is from RNAcentral.